RNAcentral lists this ribosomal RNA (246 nucleotides) under uncultured Lactobacillus sp. RNAcentral's name for it is "partial 16S ribosomal RNA". It matches the Rfam family "Bacterial small subunit ribosomal RNA", at positions 116 to 354 of the family's 1533-position model. Lineage: Bacteria; Bacillati; Bacillota; Bacilli; Lactobacillales; Lactobacillaceae. The record is from RNAcentral.
CGUGGGUAACCUGCCCAAGAGAUCGGGAUAACACCUGGAAACAGAUGCUAAUACCGGAUAACAACAGAUGAUGCCUAUCAACUGUUUAAAAGAUGGUUCUGCUAUCACUCUUGGAUGGACCUGCGGUGCAUUAGCUAGUUGGUAGGGUAACGGCCUACCAAGGCGACGAUGCAUAGCCGAGUUGAGAGACUGAUCGGCCACAUUGGGACUGAGACACGGCCCAAACUCCUACGGGAGGCAGCAGGC